UGUACCAAUCAUAUAAUUUAUCUAGAACAUUAUUUUUGAUCACAUUGUGAAUAGACAAUGUCUACUCCUACUAAAAUUACUUUUACUGCUGGAAGAAAAAUGUGUGAAUGUCCUAUGUGUGCAUUGAAGAGAGAGUUAGGAGGCUACGAUCGUUCAACUACUGAUGGAAGAGUUUAUAACCUACCAGAAUAUGAAGCAAAUGUAACACCAUCAGCAAUACAGAAACCAAAUCAAAAUGUGAUCAUAGUAUCAAAAUCUAACCUAAAGCCUAGUGAUAACACCAAGGUUACGCCACAGGCAAAUACUCAAUCGCCAAACAGCUCCAAUACAGUUAACACCCCAAAAAUACCUGAAUCCAAAGUACCGGAAUCAAAAACUGUGUUACCAACAAAUUUACCUCUAGAAAACCAGAAGCCAAAUGAUGUCACCAAAGUGACGUCAGAGGCAAAUCCUCAGUCACCAAACAGCACCAGUACAGUUAACAGCUCAAAAAUAUCUGAAUCCAAAGCACCGGAAUCAAAAACUGUGUUACCAACAAAUUUACCUCUAGAAAACCAGAAGCCAAAUGAUGUCACCAAAGUGACGUCAGAGGCAAAUCCUCAGUCGCCAAACAGCUCCAAUACAGUUAACAGCCGAAAAAUACCUGAAUCCAAAGUACCAGAAUCAACAAAUGUCUUGCCAACAGCUGUAAAUCAAAUAGAACAACAAACCAAUGUUAAAUCUGAGUUAAGACCCAGUACGGUUAACUCAGCAACGACAGAAUCAAAAAAUGAAAUAUUACAAUCAAGGACAUUCUCACAACUAAAAACAAUAAAUAGUCAGGAAGAUAGAACGAACACAAGACCAUUAAACAGACAUGCAAAAACAUACGAAUUAGAGAACUUUGAGAAGAAAUUAUUGAUAAUUAUCAACCAAUAUGAAAUAAUUGGGUACAAGGAACCUCGUUGGGGUACAGAAAACGAUGUCAUCGCUUUAACACACACGUUUACGAAAUUCGGAUUCGAUAUUGAAUUACAUGAAGAUGAGACGGUGUCGGAAGUGUCCACUUUGCUGGGAACCUUCGACGAUCGUAAUUUCUCGGAAUAUGGUUGUGUGGCAAUUGUAGUCCUUACUCAUGGGAUAAAGGGUGGCUAUUUACACGCCAAGGACGGCCUUUACCACGAAUACGUUCUAUUAAAUGCAUUUAAAACGCAAGACAGACCUUCCUUGGUGACAAAACCAAAGCUCCUAAUUAUUCAGGCUUGCCGUGGUGAACAGUCUGUUGAGGGUGUCAACGUUGGCACCCCAAGUACUACUAAAAGAGACGCGGCCUGCUUUGAACCAUAUCUAUUACCAUGUGAAUCGGACAUUUAUGUCCUCCACAGUUCUUACGAGGGAAAACCUUCGCACAGGGACAUAUUAGACGGUUCUUGGCUAAUUCAGACAUUGUGUAAAAAGAUAAAUGAAUUAGCGCCAACCCACGACUUGGCGAGUAUAGUCACUGAGGUGAAGCAAGAAGUGGCAAUCGACUUGUGCUUUGAAGAAUAUAACACGGAAACAUUAGAAGUGGAGACGAACACACAAGUGCCUGUGGACACGUCAACGCUUAUUCGGAAGUUAUAUUUUCGGAAAUAUGGUGAUGCACCGAUUUCUGGGAUACCGACUACUCCUGAUAUGAAAGUGGAAAAAUGUUCAUGCUUUAAGGACUAUUUCACAUACAUUAGGGCAUGUUUGCGGUUGCAUUUAAAACAAAAUCCUGGUGAUGCCAUUACGGAGUACUUCAUCACAGCAUCAGAAUCGUUGGAAAGCCGUUCGGAUACGAGUGAUAAAGAAAAAAUUACGAAGGCUAUUGUCAAUUAUUUAAGUUUGAACAGCAAACAAAGCUUAUUCUACAAAAGUAUUCAUUUUAAAAAUUAAUUGUAGUAAUGUAAUGAUUGAUAUUGUAUCAGCAUUUGAUAGACUUGCUGAUCACGACUGUCAAUAAUUGUAAUUCGAUCAAUACUGGAAAAAAACUUGUGCCUGAAGUCGAAGCUCUGGUGCGUGGAUUCUCGGACUGGGUUCGACUAAAUCUAGUCCAAUUAACUGUGUCAUCUUGGGUAUCUUAUGGUUAGCCAAGAAGACACUAGUUUAUGCGUGAUUGUGUAAAUUAGUUUAAAUAGAAAAUUAUUCCUUGAACUAAAUUAACUAUCCGACUGUAGUAAUGCCAAAUGCACUCUCAGUAAUUUGAUCUCAUAAUUAUUUUACCGAUCAGGAACUUUGCCAUCUUCUCGUCGAGUAUUUGCUGUACUGUUUACACAUAAAUUUCCAUCCAUGUGGAACGGCAUGCCUUAAACCCUAAAAUUGUGGGUUGGUUGAUCACCUACGUGCCUAUCAGAACUGCUUACGCAAUAAAUUUAUUUAUAAUUAAUAAUUUAACUACUUCGGUUAUGUUUUCUUAUGAAUUCAUUGGUCAGCUUACAGGAGUUUAAAGACUACCAUAGCUAAUACUAAUUUACUAAGAGAAGACGAGAAAAAGAUGAAGCAACAUAUAGAAAUGUGUUUUUUAUUUAUUAACACUUCGUUGCAUUACAAUAUAAAAAUUGAACAUAGUUAAAUGAAAGAAGGCCAACUGGCGGACUUAUCGCUUUCAAGCGAUCUCAUCCAGGAUUAUAUUAUAGGUUGUAGCGCUUUUUCUAUUUUUCUCGAGACCCCACUAAAUCCAAAAGAAUCUUAUAUUUAUUCAGUAACUCCACCCAGUAAUUUAUUUAUUUUUCAUAUAUUACUUCAGCCUAAAGCUUUUCUCGGUAAAAAUGCAAAUAUUAUGCUUUUGUUAGACAUAAUAUCGCGAAUGUUUUUAAAGUAGUUAUUGAUUGUAUACAAUAAUACGAGUACCUACGAGUAGCUUUGUAUGUUGCGCUUUAGAGAGCGCCCAAGUUGGAGAACGAUGUUAGUACACAAGUAUUGACAAAUUUCCUUUUAAUGAGCAUGCUCGUUUUUUUAUUUUUCAUGACAUUGAGACGCCUAAGACUAAAAAAUUUAUCAGUUUACAAAAUACACUUUCAAGAUCGCACAUGUAUAUAAAAAUAGAUUUUAAAAAAAGGACACGAUUAUUUUAAUGAACUUCAAUGUGAAUCACAAUUAUUUGGGACUUUUGGAUUGCCAAGUGUAAAUUUGUUAAUCUUUCAAACAGCUCCAACUUUUGUUAUCGUUCUUUAUGACUUGUAUAGUACCUUAAGUAUGAUGAAGGCGUAUGGCUUUGGACCGCUUAAAAGUUAAAAAAAAAACUGAUAAUAUUAUGAAUGAUGUAAAUGAUAGUGUUAAUUUAAAGGAGGCAAACAAAACCGAAAGAGCGGGUCUCGGGAGGAAUUGCGCCCCGGCUCGCCCAGGAUUAUCGUAAAUAAAAAUAUUACCGAUGCAUCCGGGGCGUAUUUCGCGACACCUGCCAUUCGCGAACUAAUACAAUUAAUUAAAUGUAUAUUGUUUUUAUUUUUGGAAAAAAUGUGAUAUAAAAAGUCCCUGGACAAUAUGGCAGUAGAGGGUUAUAAAUUAAUAAAAGAAAAAAAAAUGAUAUUGUGACUUUUAAGGUGGAGCCGUGAUUCGACAAAUUUACCAAUAAUACUCUGUGUUAAAAGAACUACGAUUCAGUGGUAUAUUCUUUUCUCGCCCAGUAAGAACUAAGAGCGCCGCUAUCAUGGAUACUGGUAUUGUUAGUAAAUAUAAGGAAUAAUUUGAAGUCAGGCAGGCGCACUUAAUAAUUGAAGAAGUCGUAAUAAAACAAACUAGUAUCUAGAAAAUACAGUUCUAAGCCUAAAUGUGACAGAAACUUAGGAAGAAGUGUGUUCUGAGCGUUGGCAAGCUUUUAUAAACAAAUAAAUUUGAGACUCUCUUACUGUGGGAUGUGAGUGCAAAGGCGCUGAUGGGAGCGUGAAAUGUAAAUUUAUUUUUAUAAUACAAAUUGUUAUCAUACUCAUAUAUGUCGUCAAUUUUAAUUGUA
Molecule: RNA transcript, 3952 nt
Organism: Pieris brassicae (large cabbage white)
Lineage: Eukaryota; Metazoa; Arthropoda; Insecta; Lepidoptera; Pieridae
Gene name: caspase b-like
Exons: 6
Source: RefSeq, a predicted model, not a curated record